GUUUUCAGCCUCUGAUGCCUUAAUAAAUGAGUACAUGAGACACACUUCAUGAGCAUUUACCGUUUCUUUUGAGAAAAACUAUCAUCAUACCAUAUACAAACAUAAAUGUAAAGAUAUUCAA
Molecule: long non-coding RNA, 121 nt
Organism: Sinocyclocheilus grahami
Lineage: Eukaryota; Metazoa; Chordata; Actinopteri; Cypriniformes; Cyprinidae
Exons: 3
Source: RefSeq, a predicted model, not a curated record